This 558-nucleotide long non-coding RNA is filed under the name Elaeis guineensis (African oil palm). Its description in RNAcentral is "long non-coding RNA (EGUI_LNC010980)". Lineage: Eukaryota; Viridiplantae; Streptophyta; Magnoliopsida; Arecales; Arecaceae. The record is from RNAcentral.
UUUAGGUCUUUAAAAGAUCUUAUGGCGAAACAGAGAGAUCGGAGUAGCAAUGGUGUACUCCGCUGAGGAUCUAGAGCAAUAGCAGACCGAGAGGAGUCGAUAGAAAGCAGAGGCAGAGGUGCAUCAGGCAGACUGUUAGACAAGAGAUAGCAAUCGCUUCAAGAGUUCAGGAAGAUUUUCUUAAAGAGAAUUUUUGUGAGAGAGAUCUUCUUGUGAGGGAGAGAUUGAGUGUAUAAAAGUUGAGGGUGUAAUCUUCUCUUAUAAUUUUAUUUUUUUAUAGUAAAACUUACAUGCCCCAUGGAAAGCCUUUUGGCUGAUCCAUGUAUUUGAUUGUAUUUCUAUUUUUUUUUUUUCUUUCUGCUACGAUGUGUGGUAUCAAAAAAAUCCUAUGAAGAUGAUGUCCUGACCAAAUAUUUUCAAUAAAAAAUAGUAAACAGCAAGCCUGUAUGUCCGACUAUGUUCCAGGUUGUGGACGAGCAUGAGAGUCAUAUCAGAAAAUAUACAGGGAACGACAGAAUAAAAUGUACCUGCAUCAACAGAAUAAAAUAAGGAUCCUAG